CACAUGCAGUCGCUCAUCCAAGGUCUGGAUGAGACCACUCAUUCCAUCCAGUAUUACGUUACUUAAGCAUGCCAUACUUCUGUGAAAAAGCAAGUAUUCUCUCAGAUGAAGAAGCAAGGGAAAAUGCAAGUUUUACCUGUCUCUGAUCUUACUCAGGGUUAAUUCUUGUGAUCAUAGAAUCACAGAGUGGUUCAUUAUGCUGGAAAAUCCAUCUGUCAUCACAGGAACCAACUUGCCAAAGACCUGGAGCAAUGGGUAUGGCCCCUGAGACAAGAAACCCUGUUACAGUUUGUGUGGAUGACCUUCUGAUAGCUACUGAAACAAAGGAGAUCUGAUAGAGAUGGGUUCUUUCUGGUAAAAGAGAAAGAAGAACAUAUUUAUACAACUGCUGCUCCCCAACAGAUCAUACCAAUCCAUGUGCAAGCAACUUACACAUGCUCCUCUGAAGAAAACAGUAAGAGAAGCCAUAUCCUCUAGCAGCAAUCUCAGCUCAUCUGCUUUCCCAGCUCUUUCUAAGAACACCUACUGGAGUCCCAUCUGAAGAACAGAAACUGGACAGCAGCAGCAAGGAUUGAAAAUAGAUUUUCAUGAGCUCUGAGGUUCUUCCAGUCCACUCUGCAAGCUGUCAUUCAUGAUCUUCUAAUAGACAAGAAGAACAAAUAGUGGCUGCUUCUUUCACUUCUUUUUCACUUGUGCCUGUGUCUGCUGUGUACAGCUUGAAGACUGUACCAGCAAUAAGGAGAAAAACAGUCUCUUGACAGGUUAAGAACAAGAUGUCUUAGAGGAGAAUUAUGUUCAGAUUCUCCCAGUUUGAAUUAUACUGUCAUUUUUGUGCCUCAUUCCUCUUAGAUGUGUAGAUCUGGAGUCACCUGGUCAAAAAAGUGAAACUCAAAUUGGCCCUUUUCAUCUCUACCAGCCCUCAAGCACUUAAAAUGCCAAAAAGUCACACUCAUCUUCCAUGAGAGUUUUGGACUUGAAACUCCUAGUCACCACCUAUGUACAUCUAAUUUCCUGAAAACUUUUUCUAUUGAAUUCUGGAAGAUGGAAAACAAUGUGUUUCUCCUUUAUAUUUUCAUUUUCUCUGUGCUAUUUUCUGGUUGAUUCUUCACUUGCUGCCCCUGGGUUGAACCAGCUGCAAAUACGAAAGUGAAAAGAAUUGCAGCUGACUACUGGCAGGCAAGAGUGUGAAUAUGAGCAUCAUAGAAGGAAGAUUAUAUCAGUAGAGAGACUGCAGAUAAUAGUCUCCUCAGUCUGAUUUAUGUUUUACUAAUUCAUUCAGCCUGUGCCCUUUAAGAAAGGACUUUUUUGAUAGGAUUUUUUUUUUUUUUAAUAGGAUUUUGUUUCAUGUCAUGGAAUUCAGUGAUUCAGUAGCCAUUGCAACACAUAAAAAGCACUUCUGGUCUGAAAGGAGAUGAAUUUAAACAAUCACUAUCCUUUUUUUCCUCAAGAGUACAAUUGUUCAAACAAGUGGAUCUGCAGAACCAUACUGUUUAGGUCUGGAGAUGAAGAGUAUGUUCUUGUCUAGGGAGGCAAUGUGGUAUAAAAAUCUUUCUCAUGAAUGUACCUGUUCAUCUAUCAUUAAUUCACAUUUUUUAUUUUUAUACGUAUGCAUUCUUUGGGAACUGAAGUAAAUGGUGAACUCUGAUUUUCUGAGGGAAAUACUAACUGCUUAGUGUUUUAUUUGUACUUUGAAGUCGAGAGCCAAUUCAGUGCUGUGUUAGUGCUCUGAUGUUAAAAAAUAUUUUGCAACUAGCUUUUCCUUCAACCAAAGCAAAAAUAAUGUUGAAUGCUAUUAAUGUGAAUUUUCUUCCCAGAAUUAAGUUAAAUUCUUUAUUUCCAUUUUGUAAUUUGUAAUCAGAUAGAAAUACAGGGAGAUGAUUUUCAUAGUCUUGCCUGCAUGACCUUGUGAGUGGUGCUAGGCUAGCAGUUAUGUGGGGUAGAGAUAAUCAUCCAGAUGUUCCCUCAUAAACUGCCCAGAAAAGAAGGGGAAGCUAUUCUGUUUUUCUAAAUGAGUUCUUUCUCUAUGAAAGGUGAGAAUAAGACUGCUCAGUCAUACUUCUAUGACUGAGCUAUGAGGGAUCAUGGGCAACCAUCUAUGUACUUAACUAGAUGAAUAAUGAAUGAGUGAAGCAUGGGAAAAUAGCUGUCACAUUUAUUUUCUACAUACCAGCAACAGGGAAUCAUUUCUAGCAUCCUAAUACACCAAAGGAUCCUUUGAAGGAAGAUGUCCCUCAUUUAUUUGACUAUGCAUACUGGAGUGUUGUUUUGUGGUGUGAAGUUACUGGUGCAGUAAGUAGAGUUAGUACUUAAACUAUUUUUAGGGACUUUUAAAGUACAGUAAAGAUUUGUUCAUUUCCAGUAUCCUCUUUCUCUUUGUAUCAUAGGGAGCUUGUUAUUGUGAGCCAGUUUUUUCUUAAACAUACAGAUAAAUUAGAAAGGAUAAUUAUAUCUCAAAAGCAUCUUAAUUGUCCCAGUUACUUGACCAGUUUUGACAGCUGGGGAAGGAGGGAUAUCUGUAGACAUAAGACAAUGUUUCACAGAAUCACAGAAUCACAGAAUCACAGAAUCACAGAACUGUAGGGGUUGGAAGGAACCUCUGAGGAUCAAGUCCAACCCCCUUCUAAAGUAGCUUCCUUAGGAAAGCAUCCAGGUGUGUCCUGAAAAUCUCCAUAGAAAGAGAUUUCAGUCUCUCUGGGCAGCCUGUUCCAGUGCUCUGCCACUCUCACAGUAAAGUUCUUCCACAUGUUGAUAUGAAACCUCCUGUGUUGCAGUUUUUGCCCAUUGCCCCUUGUCCUGUCACAGCACAUCACUGAAAAGAGCAGUGUGGUGCUUGGACAAUACUCAUGGCACAGCUAUAAUAAUCAGUGCCUAGAUUUAAAAGUAUACUAUAUGCACUGCGAAAGAAAGAGAACAUCAGUGAAUUUUAUGAAAUCCUUUUUUCAGUCAGCUUUCUGCAGGAGACAAACUCCAUUAGCACAAAAUCAGUUAUGAUUAAAUUCUAUUUAACCAAAAUUGGCAAAUUCCAUUUCCCCCACAUUUCAUUAUGGUUUAAAUGCUACAACGAUAGAUUGAAUUAAACCACCUUCCACAGUAUCUUCCUGGUAAAAUCACUACCAGUUAUGAUUUUACUUUUUUGGAUGAAAAUUAAGCAACAUAUAAUUGUCCUAAAUCACUGAUGAGGUUACUUGGUCUGGUAUAAUAGGCAAUAUAAAAACCCUGCCAGAGGUUUUUAUGUCAGAGGGCACAGCUGUUAAAGAAGUCAUUUCAGGCUUUUUUUUAGGCAUAUUAGACAUUCUUUGGUGUUAAAAAAUAAAAGACAAAUAUUUGAACUCACAAUCUCGACUCUAGCUUGAAUGAAAGAAGAUGAAAAUGCAGAAACUUCCACUCCUUCCAGUGUCUAAAAAGAAGCAAUGUGCCUCUUCCGUUGGAAGGCUCUAGUAUCAGUAUGAUUUCAAGAACAAAGUUAAUGUUGAUCAUGUCUUUACACACUGUCCUGCAGAAAUGCUUUCUUGAACUAAGGUCAUGGUUAAGGGGAUAAAAAGAAAUAAAGGCCUUCUACUUCUUCUUUCUAAAAUACUGUUACGUCUGUUUUAAGAUCUCACCAAAAUUAGCAAAAUAUUAUUCUCAUCAUUAAACUGAGUUGCAUAAAAGUAAUUGGAUCUGACAUAAAAUAGUUGUUCUUUCAAAGUUAUACUUUGGGGCAAUCAGGGAGCAGGCAACAAUAAAUUAAAGCAAGACAGUCAAAUUCCCAAACCUCCAACUCAGUUAUUUUAAAAAUGCACCUUUUUAGAAGAGAGGCAGAUGAGCCGGUAAAAUUAACUAUACACUAAAUGCACGUAUUUUUGAAUAGCUUUAUGAGGCAGAAGUAUCCAGCUUCCUCAGUCCAGAUUUCUCAGCAGAAGUAACCAGAAAAAACAACAACAACAACAACAAAAAUAGAAUAAAAAUAAGUAACCCCUGGUGUCUCUGAAAUCAUCAGGGACAUGCAUAUGCCCAUGUAGAAAUUCAGUACAAAAAACAUCUUAGUGAUGAACUACUACUACUAGGCAUAAUCUAUAGCCCCUGCUAGUAAUUAAGCUUAUUAAUCUUGUGAAAUUAAUGUGAUAAUGCAGCUAACAGCUUAGUACUGAGCCAUUCUUGCCACUGCAUGUAUCACACAGAGGCAGAGUAGCUCUUGAAGAAAAGAUCUUCAAGAAAACCCUUAGAUUAUUAAAGCCACUCUAGGCAAGCAGUGGGGAAGGCUGUUAAAUCUGUUUCUGAGACUUAUUUUAUUGGAAAAUAGAAAGCAUUAAAAAUAAGCAAUAUAACAAUUAUGUUUGAAGUCCAGAUUAUGCAUCUUCUCCUCUUACUUUAGAAAUUAGCUUCUUUAUUUUCUGCAGAGAGACUUACUAUCAAAACUGAAUUAUAUUUUCAUCAGAUAAAUUACUUAGAGGUACCUUAGGUCUUCAGUCUUCAAAGCUCUACCAAACUGAACGAAAAUUUAUCCUAAUUUAAGACUAUCCAAGUAGAAUAUGAACGUAAGCUGGUCCUAUUACCUGCAAAUUCCAGUUCUUUGGAUACUAACACAGACAGAUAAAAAAUCUUAUCAGCUAGAGAAUCGCGUAUUGCAUACCACUCUUAGGGGGGAUGAUGUAUCUUAAAGUUCUCUGAAUUCAGGCUACAUGGCUGCAGCAUGGUGAACGUGAUCACAAAAAUUACAGGCCAAAGUGGUUAGUUAAUCCAAAGAUGUCUAAUCAUUUUGAUGCUGCAGACUGCAUGCAUGAUGUAGUUGAAAACCACUGGAUAUAGAUUACACACCUAAAGGAUGAGUGAACUCCUUGAAAACACAUAGGUGAGUUUUCCGUGCUAUCUAUCCAUCUAAUCUGUGGUGGUGACUAUCUCCCUCUUGCUUCCUACAAAGACUCAUAUUUUUUUGUAUGUUUGUUUUUUGGUUUUUUUGUUUUUUGUUUUUGCUUGUUUGUUUGUUUGUUUGUUUGUUUGUUUUGAGCAUAUGUACUCCAAGAACCACAAGCUGGUCAUUCCAUCGUUCUGGAAAUAAAUCUGAAAUCGAGUCCUCAUACCUACUAUAUUCCAGUACCUUCCAUACUUUUUGCUGAUCUAGUCUUAGUAUGAAAGGCUGUCAUUACUUAGAAAUGCAAACAACAAAUUGUCUGAACCCUCCUUUGUUUCUGGUUCAAAGCUUGCUUUCAAAGGCAUUUCUUGUGAUAGGACUUUGACUUACCUAAGAGAUGAGAGGUGGGUGUUGCAGUGUGGCAAUUGGCAUCACUGUGUGGAAAAUUGCACAUUUGAAAACAUUUUUUUGGAGCUGUUUGCCUUUGGAAGAGUGCUCAGGACUGUUUACUGGCAAAAGAUCCAGCCUGUGACCAAAUAACUCCAUCUUGCCAUGGAGGAUUGGGGGAUGAUACCAUUGUAUGCUGUGAAGGCUCCCUCUUAUCUGCAGGCAAGGCCCGGAAGAUGGGAACAAAAGGAAUUCCUUUUGAGAUCCAAAAGCCAGAAGUUGUCACUCCAAAAGGAGCUGACUUGACCACUUUGGACUUAUUUAUAAGUUUGUACUGCCAUCGGAAAGUUUCUCCAUUAUUUCCAUCGUCCCAGUCAUUGUCGCUAUCGUCAUUGUCAACCGAGCAACAACACCCAACAACCCACCACUACUGAAGAUCACCUACAAGCAGUGCUGGAAUCUGUGGUGGUAACUAUCUCCCUCUUGCUUCCUGCAGAGACUCCUUGCUUUUAUUUCCUAUCUUUUCUAUUGCCCAUCUUUCCUUCCCCAUCUCCCUAAAUGACUAGGAUUUGUAAUAAACCGGUCAG
Long non-coding RNA from Gallus gallus (chicken), 5805 nucleotides. The record is from Ensembl. Lineage: Eukaryota; Metazoa; Chordata; Aves; Galliformes; Phasianidae.